Long non-coding RNA from Symphalangus syndactylus (siamang), 547 nucleotides. RefSeq lists it as uncharacterized. The record is from RefSeq and is a predicted model, not a curated record. NCBI's taxonomy places the organism in Eukaryota, Metazoa, Chordata, Mammalia, Primates, Hylobatidae.
GGAGUCCGGAAUGACCUUGAAAACCCACUGAAACACUGGGACCUGGGUCCCCACUUCAAAAUCCAUGAUUCUACAAAUCAGAACGUCAGCAUCUGCUAAGAGCCCCCACGAGGAAGAGACAAAGGCUCCUUUGGUGCCAUGAGAGGUGGCAGGCAGAGCAGGGGCAGGGGUGAGGUGUGCCACGUGGGCACUUCUCAGGAGCCAAGCAGGCUGUGCUGUCAAAAGUGGGGGCCACGGAGGAGACGACCGCAUGGGGAGCUGGGAGCUGCCACAACAUUGCUCCAGCAGACACGGGCAGCCCAGGGCACAUGCUCUAGAAAAGCAACUCAAUUCAACCAUUACUGGAUGCCUACGGUGAACCAGCAGCCAAGCUAGACUUUGGGGUCACAAUGAAUCAGACACAGAUCCUGCCUAGAAAGGUUCAAAAUCAAAGCUGGGAGUAGACAGACAUGAAUAGACAAUUGGAAAGUUAGCGACCCCCUCGAAGAUUUCUCUGCAAGGAUGUUCACCUCAGUGUUAUUUAUAGUAGCAAAAAUCUAGAAAGGGA